CUAAAAUUUCUAAUCUACCUCCCUAACACCGACGCGCUCAAAUCCUCGAUUCCAAAUCAAUUGACGGCGGCGGCCGCCCUCCCCACCUUCACACCGACCUCGAAUAGCAGGAAUGGGAAUGGGAAGAGGAGGAGCGAUUCUAGAACCUCAUGGGAUGGGACGAUAUUCUAAGCUCAGCUCGUCUCCGCUAAUCACGAUUUGGAUUUGAUUCUCGCAACAACUAUUAUGGUGGAGAGUCUACUUGGCUCAAUCUCAUUCAGCUUUGGAAAAGAUUUAGAGGAAGUGAUAAGCCACCAGCUCACCUGGGCUCCAGUAGAGAUUAUAACGUUGACAUGAUCCCUAAGGUUCGUAUUGUUUUUACACUGGUGGACGCCCUUUAGAUUUUUCUUCAAUCAAUACGUGCUAUCUUGACAUAGUGCAGUAUAUCAUGAUGGCAAAUGGUGUUCUUGUGCGAGUCCUCAUUCAAAGCUGUUGAUGGUAGCUUUGUUCGCAACAAAGGAAAGAUAUUAUUAUUGUAUCUUAUCAUUUGUCUCGUUUUGCGUUCAUGGACGACUGCUGAUUCUCCUAACUUUGUGGUAAAUGAGUGCAACAGAUUCACAAGGUUCCAGUUUUUCAUUUAUGUCCAAGAUUUUACUAAACAAACUUGUGAAGAAGAAGAACCAAAACAAGAGCAAGAAGUAUAAGAGGAAAGAAAUACCUUACUGAAUCGCCUUGCCACUUGCCCCUGCUAAAUCAAAUCUUUAAUCAAAUCAAAAAAAUAAUUAAAACAGCCAUUUUACUACACAAACUUGUGAAAAGAGAGAAGAAGAACAAGAAGAAGAAAACGUACCAUUGCAGCCCUAAAAGAAGGAGAAGAUGACGUACCAUAUAUUGCAGCCCCAAAAGAGGAAGAAGAUGACGUACCAUAUAUUGCAGCCCCAGAAUCAACAAUAUUGCUCCCUCCGUUUGUUUUUUCAUGGAGUUUUAGAAAUAUUAGUAUUAUACUGGGAUAAAGUAGAAAUAAAAGUUAGUAUUGUAUGAUAUAAAUGUAAUGGUAUUUGUGUAAUAUAUUGUAAUUGAAAGAAUAUUUGUAAAUACAAUUACUAAAAAAAAAAUGGAUAUUUUGUUAUGGGACGAACGCAAAUG
Long non-coding RNA from Andrographis paniculata, 1125 nucleotides. RefSeq lists it as uncharacterized. The record is from RefSeq and is a predicted model, not a curated record. NCBI's taxonomy places the organism in Eukaryota, Viridiplantae, Streptophyta, Magnoliopsida, Lamiales, Acanthaceae. The transcript is spliced from 3 exons.